RNAcentral lists this ribosomal RNA (155 nucleotides) under uncultured Atheliaceae. RNAcentral describes it as "5.8S ribosomal RNA". It matches the Rfam family "5.8S ribosomal RNA". Rfam says of the family: 5.8S ribosomal RNA (5.8S rRNA) is a component of the large subunit of the eukaryotic ribosome. It is transcribed by RNA polymerase I as part of the 45S precursor that also contains 18S and 28S rRNA. The record is from RNAcentral. Lineage: Eukaryota; Fungi; Basidiomycota; Agaricomycetes; Atheliales; Atheliaceae.
AACUUUCAACAACGGAUCUCUUGGCUCUCGCAUCGAUGAAGAACGCAGCGAAAUGCGAUAAGUAAUGUGAAUUGCAGAUUUUCAGUGAAUCAUCGAAUCUUUGGACGCACCUUGCGCUCCUUGGUAUUCCGAGGAGCAUGCCUGUUUGAGUGUCA